CUAAGCCAUGCGAGUCAUUGUAGCAAUACAAGGCAUACGGCUCAGUAACGCGUAGUCAACCUACCCUAUGGACGGAAAUAACCUCGGGAAACUGAGAAUAAUAUCCGAUAGAACAUUAUGCCUGGAAUGGUUUAUGUUCCAAAUGAUUUAUCGCCGUAGGAUGGGACUGCGGCCUAUCAGUUUGUUGGUGAGGUAAUGGCCCACCAAGACUAUUACAGGUACGGGCUCUGAGAGGAGUAGCCCGGAGAUGGGUACUGAGACACGGACCCAGGCCCUAUGGGGCGCAGCAGGCGAGAAAACUUUGCAAUGUGCGAAAGCACGACAAGGUUAAUCCGAGUGAUUUCUGCUAAAGAAAUCUUUUGUUAGUCCUAGAAACACUAACGAAUAAGGGGUGGGCAAGUUCUGGUGUCAGCCGCCGCGGUAAAACCAGCACCUCAAGUGGUCAGGAUGAUUAUUGGGCCUGAAGCAUCCGUAGCCGGCUCUGUAAGUCCUCGGUUAAAUCUGUACGCUUAACGUACAGGCUGCCGAGAAUACUGCAUAGCUAGGGAGUGGGAGAGGUAGACGGUACUCGGUAGGAAGGGGUAAAAUCCUUUGAUCUAUUGAUGACCACCUGUGGCGAAGGCGGUCUACCAGAACACGUCCGACGGUGAGGGAUGAAAGCUGGGGGAGCAAACCGGAUUAGAUACCCGGGUAGUCCCAGCUGUAAACUAUGCAAACUCAGUGAUGCAUUGGCUUGUGGCUAAUGCAGUGCUGCAGGGAAGCCGUUAAGUUUGCCGCCUGGGAAGUACGUACGCAAGUAUGAAACUUAAAGGAAUUGGCGGGGGAGCACCACAAGGGGUGAAGCCUGCGGUUCAAUUGGAUUCAACGCCGGGAA
This 874-nucleotide ribosomal RNA is filed under the name uncultured archaeon. RNAcentral's name for it is "bacterial SSU rRNA". It matches the Rfam family "Archaeal small subunit ribosomal RNA", at positions 44 to 924 of the family's 1478-position model. The record is from RNAcentral.